RNAcentral lists this ribosomal RNA (1494 nucleotides) under Lactiplantibacillus plantarum. RNAcentral's name for it is "bacterial SSU rRNA". It matches the Rfam family "Bacterial small subunit ribosomal RNA". Lineage: Bacteria; Bacillati; Bacillota; Bacilli; Lactobacillales; Lactobacillaceae. The record is from RNAcentral.
GCGCAUGCUAUACAUGCAAGUCGAACGAACUCUGGUAUUGAUUGGUGCUUGCAUCAUGAUUUACAUUUGAGUGAGUGGCGAACUGGUGAGUAACACGUGGGAAACCUGCCCAGAAGCGGGGGAUAACACCUGGAAACAGAUGCUAAUACCGCAUAACAACUUGGACCGCAUGGUCCGAGUUUGAAAGAUGGCUUCGGCUAUCACUUUUGGAUGGUCCCGCGGCGUAUUAGCUAGAUGGUGGGGUAACGGCUCACCAUGGCAAUGAUACGUAGCCGACCUGAGAGGGUAAUCGGCCACAUUGGGACUGAGACACGGCCCAAACUCCUACGGGAGGCAGCAGUAGGGAAUCUUCCACAAUGGACGAAAGUCUGAUGGAGCAACGCCGCGUGAGUGAAGAAGGGUUUCGGCUCGUAAAACUCUGUUGUUAAAGAAGAACAUAUCUGAGAGUAACUGUUCAGGUAUUGACGGUAUUUAACCAGAAAGCCACGGCUAACUACGUGCCAGCAGCCGCGGUAAUACGUAGGUGGCAAGCGUUGUCCGGAUUUAUUGGGCGUAAAGCGAGCGCAGGCGGUUUUUUAAGUCUGAUGUGAAAGCCUUCGGCUCAACCGAAGAAGUGCAUCGGAAACUGGGAAACUUGAGUGCAGAAGAGGACAGUGGAACUCCAUGUGUAGCGGUGAAAUGCGUAGAUAUAUGGAAGAACACCAGUGGCGAAGGCGGCUGUCUGGUCUGUAACUGACGCUGAGGCUCGAAAGUAUGGGUAGCAAACAGGAUUAGAUACCCUGGUAGUCCAUACCGUAAACGAUGAAUGCUAAGUGUUGGAGGGUUUCCGCCCUUCAGUGCUGCAGCUAACGCAUUAAGCAUUCCGCCUGGGGAGUACGGCCGCAAGGCUGAAACUCAAAGGAAUUGACGGGGGCCCGCACAAGCGGUGGAGCAUGUGGUUUAAUUCGAAGCUACGCGAAGAACCUUACCAGGUCUUGACAUACUAUGCAAAUCUAAGAGAUUAGACGUUCCCUUCGGGGACAUGGAUACAGGUGGUGCAUGGUUGUCGUCAGCUCGUGUCGUGAGAUGUUGGGUUAAGUCCCGCAACGAGCGCAACCCUUAUUAUCAGUUGCCAGCAUUAAGUUGGGCACUCUGGUGAGACUGCCGGUGACAAACCGGAGGAAGGUGGGGAUGACGUCAAAUCAUCAUGCCCCUUAUGACCUGGGCUACACACGUGCUACAAUGGAUGGUACAACGAGUUGCGAACUCGCGAGAGUAAGCUAAUCUCUUAAAGCCAUUCUCAGUUCGGAUUGUAGGCUGCAACUCGCCUACAUGAAGUCGGAAUCGCUAGUAAUCGCGGAUCAGCAUGCCGCGGUGAAUACGUUCCCGGGCCUUGUACACACCGCCCGUCACACCAUGAGAGUUUGUAACACCCAAAGUCGGUGGGGUAACCUUUUAGGAACCAGCCGCCUAAGGUGGGACAGAUGAUUAGGGUGAAGUCGUAACAAGAGCCAG